GACGCAACGCGAAGAACCUUACCAAGGUUUGACAUCACCCGGAAACAUGCAGAGAUGUGUGCCUCUUCGGACUGGGUGACAGGUGGUGCAUGGCUGUCGUCAGCUCGUGUCGUGAGAUGUUGGGUUAAGUCCCGCAACGAGCGCAACCCUUGUUCCAUGUUGCCAGCAGCGCCUUCGGGUGGCUGGGGACUCAUGGGAGACUGCCGGGGUCAACUCGGAGGAAGGUGGGGAUGACGUCAAGUCAUCAUGCCCCUUAUGUCUUGGGCUGCAAACAUGCUACAAUGGCCGGUACAGAGGGUUGCGAUACCGCGAGGUGGAGCGAAUCCCUAAAAGCCGGUCUCAGUUCGGAUUGGGGUCUGCAACUCGACCCCAUGAAGUCGGAGUCGCUAGUAAUCGCAGAUCAGCAACGCUGCGGUGAAUACGUUCCCGGGCCUUGUACACACCGCCCGUCACGUCACGAAAGUCGGCAACACCCGAAGCCCGUGGCCCAACUCGCAAGAGGGGAGCGUCGAAGUGGCCGCA
RNAcentral lists this ribosomal RNA (522 nucleotides) under uncultured bacterium. RNAcentral's name for it is "bacterial SSU rRNA". It matches the Rfam family "Bacterial small subunit ribosomal RNA", at positions 953 to 1469 of the family's 1533-position model. The record is from RNAcentral.